Molecule: ribosomal RNA, 433 nt
Filed under: uncultured bacterium
Lineage: Bacteria
Description: partial 16S ribosomal RNA
Rfam family: Bacterial small subunit ribosomal RNA
Source: RNAcentral
AACGAACGCUGGCGGCAGGCUUAACACAUGCAAGUCGAACGCACCUUUCGGGGUGAGUGGCAGACGGGUGAGUAACGCGUGGGAAUCUACCCUUCUCUACGGGAUAGCUCCGGGAAACUGGAAUUAAUACCGUAUACGUCCUGAGGGAGAAAGAUUUAUCGGGGAAGGAUGAGCCCGCGUUGGAUUAGCUAGUUGGUGGGGUAAAGGCCUACCAAGGCGACGAUCCAUAGCUGGUCUAAGAGGAUGAUCAGCCACAUUGGGACUGAGACACGGCCCAAACCCCUCGGGGAGGCAGCGGUGGGGAAUAUGGAAAAGUGGGGCGAACCCUGAUGCAGCCACGCCGGGUGGGUUAAGAAGGCCUUAGUGUUGUAAAGCUCUUUCAGAGGGGAAGAUAAUGACGGCACCAAAAGAGAAAGCCCCGGCUAACUUCGGG